This is a non-coding RNA of Paramuricea clavata, 545 nucleotides long. NCBI's taxonomy places the organism in Eukaryota, Metazoa, Cnidaria, Anthozoa, Malacalcyonacea, Plexauridae. The record is from the annotation of a GenBank genome assembly.
CUUCCCUUUUCCUUCGAAAUGGCCGAAUUUCCUUCCAAUUUCCUUCCAAAUCUUAUUUCCUUUUAUUUUUCCUUCCAAAUGCCAAAAUAUCCUUUUGGAAGGAAAUUUCCUUCCGAGUGGAAGCUCUGAGUAUUGCUGUGCCUGUUAUAUUCAGGUGCAAGCCAGAGGCAUUAAGAUUAGAUAUGUUAAUAUUACCAUGCUGGACAAUUGCCCACUUGUAUUUACUACAAGGCUUAGCUAAAAGAUUAUUCGUGUUUUUUAUCUUUAUAUUCAUUGAUUCGUCUUCUCUUUGUAUGAUUUCAGAAAUAGCAACUUUAGCUCAGUGGCGUAACGCAACCGCUGGGGGCCCUCCGUCAAUCGGCCACUUUGGGCCCCUUUGCUACACUAAAAAUAGGCUCCAAAAAUUUUUCUCGGAACAAUUUAUUUUUGGCGACCUCCCCCCCCCCAAUUUUUUCCGGACAUACACAAUGAAAUUACAAUUAAUUCAUUCUAGUAUCUCGUCCUUUACCUCAGCCGCGACGUACUUAAUCCGUCGCAGCUUCGGG